CAUUCAUCAAGCCCUCAAUGAGCUGAAUCAGGUGUGCUUGACCAGGGUUGGGAAACACUUCACCAGUGUACCGCCACGAUGAUUAGAUAUAUAAUUGCCUCUUUAAGUACGUUUUUUAUAUAAUGGAGGGGUUGCUUAUUUGAGUGUUGUUUUGUAUAAAGCUUUGCCUGUUUCGGUUUAGGUGUUUUUGCCAAAGGUAAUAAUUAUCUGCUUAGGAGUGAUGCGCUACGAAAGGAAUUCUAUUUCAGUUUUUUAAUGAAAGACAAUGUUUUUGAAGGGAAUAAAAUGCACUUUUAAGUGAAUGUUGUAACAAAACUA
This is a long non-coding RNA of Coregonus clupeaformis (lake whitefish), 318 nucleotides long. RefSeq lists it as uncharacterized. The record is from RefSeq and is a predicted model, not a curated record. The transcript is spliced from 2 exons. Lineage: Eukaryota; Metazoa; Chordata; Actinopteri; Salmoniformes; Salmonidae.